UGAACGCUGGCGGCAGGCUUAACACAUGCAAGUCGAACGGUAACAGGAAGGAAGCUUGCUUUCUUUGCUGACGAGUGGCGGACGGGUGAGUAAUGCUUGGGAAUCUGGCUUAUGGAGGGGGAUAACUACGGGAAACUGUAGCUAAUACCGCGUAAUAUCUUCGGAUUAAAGGGUGGGACUUUCGGGCCACCUGCCAUAAGAUGAGCCCAAGUGGGAUUAGGUAGUUGGUGGGGUAAAGGCCUACCAAGCCGACGAUCUCUAGCUGGUCUGAGAGGAUGACCAGCCACACUGGAACUGAGACACGGUCCAGACUCCUACGGGAGGCAGCAGUGGGGAAUAUUGCACAAUGGGGGGAACCCUGAUGCAGCCAUGCCGCGUGAAUGAAGAAGGCCUUCGGGUUGUAAAGUUCUUUCGGUGAUGAGGAGGGUGUUUGUUUUAAUAGAACAAGCAAUUGACGUUAGUCACAGAAGAAGCACCGGCUAACUCCGUGCCAGCAGCCGCGGUAAUACGGAGGGUGCGAGCGUUAAUCGGAAUGACUGGGCGUAAAGGGCACGCAGGCGGUGACUUAAGUGAGAUGUGAAAGCCCCGAGCUUAACUUGGGAAUUGCAUUUCAUACUGGGUCGCUAGAGUAUUUUAGGGAGGGGUAGAAUUCCACGUGUAGCGGUGAAAUGCGUAGAGAUGUGGAGGAAUACCGAAGGCGAAGGCAGCCCCUUGGGAAUAUACUGACGCUCAUGUGCGAAAGCGUGGGGAGCAAACAGGAUUAGAUACCCUGGUAGUCCACGCUGUAAACGCUGUCGAUUUGGGGAUUGGGCUUAGAGCUUGGUGCCCGUAGCUAACGUGAUAAA
RNAcentral lists this ribosomal RNA (845 nucleotides) under uncultured bacterium. Its description in RNAcentral is "bacterial SSU rRNA". It matches the Rfam family "Bacterial small subunit ribosomal RNA", at positions 30 to 864 of the family's 1533-position model. The record is from RNAcentral.